GUGUUUGUUCCUCUUGAGCACAGGUACAGAUUAGGAACUGGGUUGGGACAGAUCAUAGAAAAUAUCACUCAAGACAAGAGCUAACAGUAUGCUGAUCCUUAGUCUGCUGGGAGCAACCCUCAGCUCCAUUUAUUUUGCAGCCAGCAUGGCCCAGAAGGUGACUCAGGCUCAGACUUCAAUUUCUGUGAUGGAGAAGAAGACUGUGACAUUGGACUGUGUGUAUGAAACCCGGGAAAGCACUUACUACUUGUUCUGGUACAAGCAAAUGACGAGUGGGGAAAUGGUUUUCCUUAUUAAUCAGGAGUCUUACAAAAAGGAAAAUGCAACCAAGGGUCGUUAUUCUCUGAACUUCCAGAAUUCAGAAAGUUCAAUUAGACUCAUCAUCACAGCCACACAGAUGGAGGACUCAGCAGUGUAUUUCUGUGCUAUGAGAGAAGGCACAGUGGCAGAGCUGUCUACAAGAGCCACACAAAAACCUCAAUCAGAUGGAGACUCUGAGGAAAGACUCUACAGACAGGGAGAGGCGGGGCCUGUGGCAGCACAGGAGAGGGGCUGGCAAGAAGCCUUAGUUCAAUUCAUGUAG
Mesocricetus auratus (golden hamster) is the source of this 583-nucleotide non-coding RNA. Lineage: Eukaryota; Metazoa; Chordata; Mammalia; Rodentia; Cricetidae. The record is from the annotation of a RefSeq genome assembly.